This 460-nucleotide ribosomal RNA is filed under the name uncultured bacterium. Its description in RNAcentral is "partial 16S ribosomal RNA". It matches the Rfam family "Bacterial small subunit ribosomal RNA", at positions 338 to 795 of the family's 1533-position model. The record is from RNAcentral.
CCUACGGGUGGCAGCAGUGAGGAAUAUUGGUCAAUGGGCGAGAGCCUGAACCAGCCAAGUCGCGUGAAGGAUGACGGUCCUACGGGUUGUAAACUUCUUUUGUCAAGGAGCAAUUGGGUCCACGCGUGGGUUUAGCGAGAGUACCUGAAGAAAAAGCUUCGGCUAAUUCCUUGCCAGCAGCCGCGUUAAUACGGAGGAUGCGAGCGUUAUCCGGAUUUUUUGGGUUUACAGGGUGCGUAGGCGGAAUAUCAAGUCAGCGGUAAAAAUUCGGGGCUCAACCCCGUCGAGCCGUUGAAACUGGUGUUCUUGAGAGGGCGAGAAGUAUGCGGAAUGCGUGGUGUAGCGGUGAAAUGCAUAGAUAUCACGCAGAACUCCGAUUGCGAAGGCAGCAUACCGGCGGCCAACUGACGCUGAAGCACGAAAGCGUGGGUAUCGAACAGGAUUAGAUACCCUGGUAGUC